UACGGGAGGCAGCAGUGGGGAAUCUUGCGCAAUGGGCGAAAGCCUGACGCAGCCAUGCCGCGUGAAUGAUGAAGGUCUUAGGAUUGUAAAAUUCUUUCACCGGGGACGAUAAUGACGGUACCCGGAGAAGAAGCCCCGGCUAACUUCGUGCCAGCAGCCGCGGUAAUACGAAGGGGCUAGCGUUGCUCGGAAUUACUGGGCGUAAAGGGAGCGUAGGCGGACAUUUAAGUCAGGGGUGAAAUCCCGGGGCUCAACCUCGGAAUUGCCUUUGAUACUGGGUGUCUUGAGUAUGAGAGAGGUGUGUGGAACUCCGAGUGUAGAGGUGAAAUUCGUAGAUAUUCGGAAGAACACCAGUGGCGAAGGCGACACACUGGCUCAUUACUGACGCUGAGGCUCGAAAGCGUGGGGAGCAAACAGGGAUUUAGAUACC
RNAcentral lists this ribosomal RNA (430 nucleotides) under uncultured bacterium. RNAcentral's name for it is "bacterial SSU rRNA". It matches the Rfam family "Bacterial small subunit ribosomal RNA", at positions 340 to 786 of the family's 1533-position model. The record is from RNAcentral.